AAUGACUCAGCUGAGCUCAAUGAAGCCAAAACAUGUGCGUCCAGGCUUAAUUGGUUGCACAAAGACCAAGCCAGGAUGAGCAGACACGGAUUCAUUAAGCCAGGUGAAACCAAUCCUGGAUAGGUGCGCGCUCACGGCUCACUCAAAUAGACCCCGCCACAGAUCACAGAUUAACUGAUUUACCAUGGCAACUAGAGCCGCGUACUUUUCCCCGUCGGAAGCACAAAUCCUCAUGGAGGCAUACGAGGAGGUAAAAUAUAUAAUUAAGAAGAAAGGCAACACCGCCACAGUGAUAAAGCAAAGAGAAAAAGCGUGGCAAAGUAUUGCAGACCGCCUGAAUGCAUUAAACAUGAACGGGCCAAAACGGACAUGGCAGCAGGUCAAAAUCAAAUACAAGAACAUUCUGCAGAAUGCAGUGAAAAAGAAUACCCACAGACAAGGCACGGGUGGUGGGUCACCAAAGGCUGACCUUACCCCAGCAGAGGACAUGGCCUUGGAGCUAAAUAAAGGCAGGCCCGUCUUAGAGGGGAUCCCUGGGGGGAAAGAGACGAGCAUAGGUUCCUCCCAAGAUGCCACCCGCUUCAUUCAAGUGUCUGGCAGCACUGUGUUCCUGUUAGAGCCACCAGCACAAGCACCAGACGAUGCUGAUCCAGGUGAAGGCCCCAGUGCAGCAGCAACAGCACAUGAUGGAGACGAUGAUGAGGAGGAGACCAUCUCUCUGGAUUCCAGAAGGCAUGAGGACCCAGAUGCUAUACAGUGGGAAAACCAGCCUGGCAACAUAGUGCGUAUUAAUAAAAGGACACCACAUCCUGCCAAAUUCCAGCUGCGCUAAUUGUAUUGUGUUCACAGAGCUCACAAGCUAUCAGAAAGUUGUAUGGCAACCACCUCCGGCGCCAAAUAGAACUGGCAGACAUAGACAUUCAGUACAAGAAGAAAAAGAUGGAAAAUCUUGCACUGGAGUCCGAAAUAAAAAAGAGGACAAUUAGGAAACUGGACCUUGAAAUAAAAAAACUUGAGAGGGAGCUCCAAGAAGAUGACACAGCUCAAAAUAAAAAUUAGCAAUCAGUACAACCAAGUCAUCGUUAUAAGGCAUCGCCCUCUUUUGCCCACCCCCC
This 1115-nucleotide long non-coding RNA is filed under the name Salmo salar (Atlantic salmon). RNAcentral describes it as "lncRNA (ENSSSAG00000096601.1, ENSSSAG00000112166.1)". Lineage: Eukaryota; Metazoa; Chordata; Actinopteri; Salmoniformes; Salmonidae. The record is from RNAcentral.